UGCGGUUAUACAAAAAUUGAAAAUAAAUUUUUUUAAAAAUUAAUUAAUAAAAAUAAUUAAAAUUUAAAUUUUAAAUUAUAAAGUGAAAUUUUAAUUUAAUUAAAAAUUAUUUUAUUUUAUGAAUUAAUAAAUUUUAAUAAUAAACUAGGAUUAGAUACCCUAUUAUUAAAAAUUUAAAAUAAUAAUUUUAAAAUAGUAGAUAUAUUAUAUUGAAACUUAAAUAAUUUGGCGGUAUUUUAGUUCAUUUAGAGGAAUCUGUUUAAUAAUUGAUAAUCCACGAAUAAAUUUACUUAAUUUAUUAUUUUGUAUAUCGUUGUUAAAAAAAUAUUUUAUAAUAAAAAUAAUAUUUAAAAAUUUAAAUUAAAAAUUAAAUCAGAUCAAGAUGCAGAUUAUAAUUAAGAAUAUAAUGGAUUACAAUAAAAUUAUUUAAGUGGAUAUUAAUUUGAAAAAAUUAAUUAAAAAUGGAUUUAAAUGUAAUUUUUAUUAAUUUAUAAAAAUGAUUGAAAAUUAAGAUAUGUACAUAUUGCCCGUCGCUUUCAUUUAUAAAUUGAAAUAAGUCGUAACAAAGUAGAGGUACUGGAAAGUGUUUCUAGAAAGAU
RNAcentral lists this ribosomal RNA (599 nucleotides) under Zygaenoprocris persepolis. Its description in RNAcentral is "partial 12S ribosomal RNA". The record is from RNAcentral. Lineage: Eukaryota; Metazoa; Arthropoda; Insecta; Lepidoptera; Zygaenidae.